GCCUGUUUAUCAAAAACAUGGCCUUUUGUAAAUUAUUUAAGGUCCGGCCUGCCCAAUGAUUGUGAUUAAAUGGCCGCGGUACUUUGACCGUGCAAAGGUAGCAUAAUCAUUAGUUUUUUAAUUGAAAGCUUGAAUGAACGGUUAAACAAGAAAAUUACUGUCUCAAUUGAAUGGUUUUAGAAUUUUAUUUUUUAGUUAGAAAGCUUAAAUGUUUUUAAGGGACGAGAAGACCCUAUAGAAUUUUAUAGGUUUUUUUUAGUUUGUAUUUUUGGCUUAAUUAUUGUGAAUUAAGAAAAUUUAUUUUGUUGGGGUGAUGGAAAAAUUUGAGAAACUUUUUUUUAAGUUAAUCACUAAUAUGUGUUUUUAUGAUCCGUUAUUUUACGAUUAAAAGAAAAAAUUACCUUAGGGAUAACAGCGUUAUUAAUUUGGAGAGUUCUUAUUGAUAAAUUAGUUUGCGACCUCGAUGUUGGAUUAAAAUUAACUUUUGGUGUAGGGGCUUUAAAGUUAAGUCUGUUCGACUUUUAAAAUUUUACAUGAUCUGAGUUCAGACCGG
Molecule: ribosomal RNA, 553 nt
Filed under: Hemisodorcus rubrofemoratus yamadai
Lineage: Eukaryota; Metazoa; Arthropoda; Insecta; Coleoptera; Lucanidae
Description: partial 16S ribosomal RNA
Rfam family: Bacterial large subunit ribosomal RNA
Source: RNAcentral